This 253-nucleotide ribosomal RNA is filed under the name uncultured bacterium. RNAcentral describes it as "partial 16S ribosomal RNA". It matches the Rfam family "Bacterial small subunit ribosomal RNA", at positions 524 to 776 of the family's 1533-position model. The record is from RNAcentral.
UACGAAGGGUGCAAGCGUUACUCGGAAUUACUGGGCGUAAAGAGCUCGUAGGUGGUUUGUCGCGUUGUUCGUGAAAACCGGGGGCUUAACCCUCGGCGUGCGGGCGAUACGGGCAGACUGGAGUACUGCAGGGGAGAACGGAAUUCCCGGUGUAGCGGUGAAAUGCGCAGAUAUCGGGAGGAACACCGGUGGCGAAGGCGGCCUUCUGGCUCAUAACUGACGCUGUAGCGCGAAAGCGUGGGGAGCGAACGGG